This 460-nucleotide ribosomal RNA is filed under the name uncultured bacterium. Its description in RNAcentral is "partial 16S ribosomal RNA". It matches the Rfam family "Bacterial small subunit ribosomal RNA", at positions 338 to 795 of the family's 1533-position model. The record is from RNAcentral.
CCUACGGGCGGCAGCAGUGAGGAAUAUUGGUCAAUGGCCGGAAGGCUGAACCAGCCAUGCCGCGUGAAGGGCAGGGGCCUAUGGGCGUUAAACUUCUUUUGGGCGGGAGCAAGAAUGGGCAGGUGGGGCCAGACGAGAGGACCGUAGGAAUAAGCAGCGGCUCACUCCGGGCCAGCAGCCGCGGUAAUACGGGGGAGGCAAGCGUUAGCCGGAGUUCUUGGGUGUCACGGGUGCGGAGGCUGUGAGGUAAGUCAGCGGGGAAAUGCCCCCGCUCCACGGGGUGAAGUGCCAUUGAUACUGCCUUGCUGGACUGCGGCUGCCGUGGGAUGAAUGUGUGUUGUAGCGGUGACAUGCAUAGAUAUCACACAGAACCCCGAUUGCGAAGGCAGCUCACUGGACUGCAACUGACACUGAGGCUCGAAAGUGUGGGUAUCAAACAGGAUUAGAUACCCUUGUAGUC